Molecule: ribosomal RNA, 216 nt
Filed under: uncultured Glomus
Lineage: Eukaryota; Fungi; Glomeromycota; Glomeromycetes; Glomerales; Glomeraceae
Description: partial 18S rRNA
Rfam family: Eukaryotic small subunit ribosomal RNA (bases 23-216)
Source: RNAcentral
GGGUUAGUAGGUUGGUCAUGCCUCYGGUAUGUACUGYUCUCACUGAUUCCUCCUUCCUKAUGAACCGUAAUGCCAUUAAUUUGGUGUUGCGGGGAAUUUGGACUGUUACUUUGAAAAAAUUAGAGUGUUUAAAGCARGCUAACGCUUGAAUACAUUAGCAUGGAAUAAUGAAAUAGGACGUUCGAUCUUAUUUUGUUGGUUUCUAGGAUUGACGUA